Molecule: long non-coding RNA, 3877 nt
Organism: Triticum urartu
Lineage: Eukaryota; Viridiplantae; Streptophyta; Magnoliopsida; Poales; Poaceae
Source: RefSeq, a predicted model, not a curated record
UCGCAGUCUUCAUAGUAAGUCAGCCGAACCGGUACGGGAGAGAAAAAAAUUGCCCAGCCACGCACGUCCCGGCCUCCCAAUCUCAUCUCCACCGGCAGCGCAACACCACCUCCUACCCUGCCCUCACCGCGCGCCGCCGGACACACCCCGCCGUCGAGCGUCACCACCGCCUACCCUCCUCCCAUCGGGAUCCCCCCGAUCCAAAAAUCCAUCCACCCAGUCCUCUCCUUGAUUUCCAAAUCGAGCCUACCGGCAGCCUCCCUGCGCAGCUGUGCCCCCGCGCCUCUGCCUCACCGAGCGCCCGACCAGGCCGUCGUUUGUCGCCAGCACCCGCGGAUCUGGCCGCCCCUCACCUUUCCCAUGGGCUGCACCUCACAGCGCCGCCGCCCCUGCCAAGCUCCGCCGCUGGAGGAUGAAAUUCUGUCAAUGCCCACUGUCUUCAAGUAAUACUUUUUUUAGUGUCCAGGAAAAAAUCUUGGGAACAUUUGUCAUGCUAGCCACCUGACGCUCGGCAUAUCCUCUCCUUCGUGGCAUCCAGCUUUGCUGCAGGGACCAAAAGUUGGGGUCAAGAUCGAAGUCGGCUGAGCUAUUGGGUGGCUCUGAAGAUGUGUUUGUGUUAGAGAUUAGUUUACGUGCAAAGUAAGUUCUGUAAGAAAAGUAUUACUGCGCACCACUCCAAUUUGUUCCUUGAACUGAUAAGAUCUGGUCCAGUAGUACUCCUGCAAAUCUGAGGUAAGACGUUCUGCAUGUUUCUAUUAUCCUGCACAAUAAGCAAUAUGUGUGUCCUCACCAUAGUGGUGGAGCACAUACACUUCAAAUCAUCCGUUCUCUUGUUCCCCAAAAUAAAUUCAUUCGUUCUAACCAUUAGCCAUAUAAUUGUACAGAUAGACCAUAUAAAUGGGAUUCUUUCUGUAAAUAGAAAUCAACCUGAUUUGAUUAUGUUUCAUGUCCAUAAUAGUUUUCUCUUGGUAGAAAAAACAUAAACAUGUACAUACAGAUUAUAUUUCUGCUCAUUGCAAGAGGAUAUGAGGAUUUCUACUAUUAUACUGACAGAAUGAUAGCAUCACCUCAAGCAUGUAACCGUGGGAGUUAGUCUUUGUUACCUGACCUGAAUGUUGUUGUAAACACAAAUAUGUCCUAAGAAUUAGGGUAAGAAUGAAGCCAAUAACUGUUGAAUGUCAACAGAUGUAGCUCUUUUAAUCCCACAAAAGUUAGUCAUAAAGGUGGCCACAUUGCUGCAUUUGAUUGUUCCCUACAAGAAUGAGAUUGAGUAUUCUGUGCUUGCCACAUGCCAUCAACGUACUAUUCUCAUUCUAAUUAAUUUUUGAUGUUCCUAAACUUGAUUUUGUUCUUGCCUUUAUAGACAAGCCUCAGCAUAUUUGAGAUGAUGGCUGUUGCUGCACGUGAAGAGUUGGUUAAUAUGAAGAAGUUCCUAAUUAACUGACUUGAGCCAUUUGCACAGAACCGGUGCUCUCCCGUUGCAACAUACGGGCAUUUGAUGAGAGAACGGACGUAAGCACAUUGACAUAAAUAUAUGCAGGAAGGAAUUAAAGGAGAGACUACACAACUCGGGUGACAAAGAGUUGUGCCUAUGGCCGAUUAAAUAGAACUAAAAAAAGUCUGCGUCUAUAGUGAGACACCUCGAGGAAAAAAGAUCGGAUGAUGAGAAAGGAAAAAGGAGAGAUUGGAUCGGGACAACGUACAACCUGGAUUCAGGUUUUAGCACACGAUGGACGAGCUGCAGGCCAUGGCGGACGCUGGAGGCACAGGCCCAUCGCAGACAGGGGUAGGCCUGGGUGAAGUCGGCAAGGUGUGUGUGUGUUGCAGAUAGAUGGAGGCACUGGGACGGGGCGGCAAGGUGUGUUUGUUGCAGAUAGAUGGAGGCACUGGGACGGGGCGGCAAGGUCCAAGACGACGGGUCACGAGAGCAGGUUGUGGUUGCCUGCAUAUAUAUGUAUUCCCCUCCGUUAACAACGGUUGGAUGAAGCUUUGGAGUACUAUAAACUUCCAGGGAAGGUAAAACCCAUCUUUGGCAUAUUUGUUUUCAGAGUAUUGAUGUUGGAGAUGACCUUAAGAUGAGAAAGACUAAAGAUUUGGUAAGCUGUCCAUACUGCCUCAAGGGGGGAAGUUUUUAUCACUGCUUUUUGGUUGUAUUUAUAUAAGAAGCAUGGAGGGAGCUGGAACUAAUUUGUGAUUUCUCCUGGCCAUUUUUUUCUUCUAAAAAGAGUAAGUUUCCCGGUGUUCAAACAUUGUAGAUCAGAAAUGUUCUUCAUCGAUGCCCAUCCCAAUUGCUAACAAUUCUUUUGCACACUCAGGUUGCCAAAUAUAGUACGAAGGAACUAUAGCAAGCGAAUUGUUGAGUUUGCCAAGCAUAAUGGCAGAAGAAGCACACCUAAUUUUGGCAGAUCAUAUAAAGAGAAUAUCGAGCAAAGAUGCUUUGAGAUUUACCCAUGACUAUAUGCGGUUCCUAUAAAGUCCUGUUGCAUGUUUAAUGAUUGCCACAAUAGUUUCUUUUCAUGCACCAGAGAAUUAUAUUUUUUGUAUCAGGUAAAUAAUUCUUUUCUCACUGUUAUUUUUCUAGAUCAAGAUCGAGAGAUAGACAAGGGGUAAUGGUAGCUCGUGCAGUGAUAGAGUGCUGGGGAGGCUGCCGGUGUCAUUGCCGAGUGCUGGGGAGGCUGCUGAACAAGUUUAUUUAUUUGUCGUGUGAAUUGUUCCACACUUCUGAUCAUCAUAUUGUAUGAUGAGCAGUUGGCCAUCUCUUAUUCUGUGGGGAUAUGGUCCGUUUGUAUUCUUCUAAUUGAUUCGGUUCACAAUUCUAGCCGAUGAAAUUUGGUCUACAUUUAUGUGUACGUAUGCUAUACUAUAUACUGGAACUUGUGCUUGCCCGUUAUAUGAUUAUACUACAAGUAGACAAAUGUAAAUGUCCAUAGUAAUAAACUUGUGGUCAUAGGACUACUAGCUUAAAGUUUGUUAGAUUAUGUAAAUGGGCAUUUUUGUUGUCUGCUCUUUAGGUUUCCAUAGCAUGAGGUGGUGCUCUUGCUUUUAAAAACACAUAUAAACUGCCAUCUAUACUGAACAAUGGGGCUUCCUGUCUAAACUGGAGUAGAAAUUUGAGGCUGAAAGGACCAACAUUAGCAGCAAUAAUAUUAAUAUCCAUUAGAAGAGUUUUCUACACUGAGCCCGUGGGUCUCACAAAGAUAUAAGAUAUAUAGAAUGUUGUAAAGAUCAGCUUACCUUCUCAUGCAAUGGAACAAUUGUGUGUCUUGAUCUUUUCCGUUUUCUUUGGUUUUGCAGCCUAGAAUUUUUAGGCACGCGCAUAUAGAUUGGAGCAUCUAAUAGUAGUUGAAAGUGUUUUUGAGUAAAAAUGCAACUAAUACUCAAUUUUCUAGGACUUGAUACAUCAUGGUCUUCUUGUGCCUUGUUGUUUGGUUGGUGUAGAAUCCCUCAGCUCUUACCAAGAGGCUCUAGCUUCGAACCUGACUCUUUUAGUAGUUGGAGUGUUGCACACAUGGAAUUGAUCGCAGAGAGGAAGCGAAGCAGCAACAGUUUGGGUUCAGAGAAGAUUAGGAGCAGCAGUUCAUUGGAGAAGGAGAGGUACAGCAACCGAGGGCAGCAGCAGAGAGCAGAAUCAGCAGGUCAGGGGCGGCAGCAGAGGAUCAGAAGCAGAGAUGAGUUCGAUUCAAUUGCCAUUGAUAAUGAUUCAGACUUGAGUUUGCACCACCCUUGUUUUACUAAAUAGUUUGUCCUUUUUCACUUGUGAUUAUGCACUAGAGAUUUGCAAGGAUGCAUUGGAUUCUUUUUAUACUGAUUUGAUGCACUCUGACUUUCGAAUGCGAACAAAUGUGAUCUUCAAUUGGCAUUGAUGAUUCAGACUUUA